This 253-nucleotide ribosomal RNA is filed under the name uncultured bacterium. RNAcentral's name for it is "partial 16S ribosomal RNA". It matches the Rfam family "Bacterial small subunit ribosomal RNA", at positions 524 to 776 of the family's 1533-position model. The record is from RNAcentral.
UACAGAGGGGGCAAGCGUUGUUCGGAAUUACUGGGCGUAAAGGGCGCGUAGGCGGCCUUCUAAGUCAGACGUGAAAUCCCCCGGCUUAACCUGGGAACUGCGUCUGAUACUGGGAGGCUUGAGUAUGGGAGAGGGAUGUAGAAUUCCAGGUGUAGCGGUGAAAUGCGUAGAUAUCGGGAGGAACACCUGUGGCGAAAGCGGCGCACUGGACCACAACUGACGCUGAGGCGCGAAAGCUAGGGGAGCAAACAGG